RNAcentral lists this ribosomal RNA (357 nucleotides) under Combretum mkuzense. RNAcentral describes it as "eukaryotic LSU rRNA". The stretch from base 1 to 76 matches the Rfam family "5.8S ribosomal RNA", at positions 79 to 154 of the family's 154-position model. Lineage: Eukaryota; Viridiplantae; Streptophyta; Magnoliopsida; Myrtales; Combretaceae. The record is from RNAcentral.
AUCCCGUGAACCAUCGAGUCUUUGAACGCAAGUUGCGCCCGAAGCCUCGGCUGAGGGCACGCCUGCCUGGGUGUCACACGNCGCCUCGCCUCCAAAACCUUCCCCCCCGUUGUGGUGAUGGUACGGAUGCGGAAGAUGGCCUCCCGUGACCACGAGCCACGGAUGGCCCAAGUCUCUGCUGGGGGAGCGAAGCGCCACGGCUUUCGGUGGUCGGCACUGCCCUCGAGGCAAUCAGUCAAUCAAGCCCGUGGCAUCCGCGACGGCCCCCAGCGUACGACCCUAAUCAUCAAAUCAACCAACGCGACCUCAGGUCAGGCGGGGCUACCCGCUGAGUUUAAGCAUAUCAAUAAGCGGAGG